UGCUUGGGAUAUGCCUUUGCGAGGGGGAUAACAGUUGGAAACGACUGCUAAUACCGCAUAAUGUCUACGGACCAAAGGGGGCUUCGGCUCUCGCGUGAAGAGUGGCCCAAGUGAGAUUAGCUAGUUGGUGAGGUAAAGGCUCACCAAGGCGACGAUCUCUAGCCGUUCUGAGAGGAAGAUCAGCCACACUGGCACUGGAACACGGGCCAGACUCCUACGGGAGGCAGCAGUGAGGAAUAUUGCGCAAUGGGGGAAACCCUGACGCAGCGACGCCGCGUGAGUGAGGAAGGCCUUGGGUCG
RNAcentral lists this ribosomal RNA (300 nucleotides) under uncultured Alteromonadaceae bacterium. RNAcentral's name for it is "bacterial SSU rRNA". It matches the Rfam family "Bacterial small subunit ribosomal RNA", at positions 114 to 425 of the family's 1533-position model. The record is from RNAcentral. Lineage: Bacteria; Pseudomonadati; Pseudomonadota; Gammaproteobacteria; Alteromonadales; Alteromonadaceae.